CAGGUCUUGUUUUAGUUGGACGAGGA
RNAcentral lists this non-coding RNA (26 nucleotides) under Mus musculus (house mouse). Lineage: Eukaryota; Metazoa; Chordata; Mammalia; Rodentia; Muridae. The record is from RNAcentral.